AUUACCUCCUGUUUUAACAGUGUGCUACUGCAGUGACAUUAGGCACUGUUUUUGCUGCCUAGACUUUUCAGCUAUAUGUUUCCGUAGAGCUUAAACAAUGAUUAAUAUCUGGUUCUAGCUAAGUAACAACUUUUCAUGAUGGAACAAAAAGAAAAAACAAAAUACAAAAUGAUUCUACCUCACUUCUAUUGUCUAGAAUCCCAAGAGUUAAGCAAAAAUGCACUUACAGCUCUCAGAAACCACCCCAAACUGUGAUGCCUGCUCUCAUUAAUGUCAGCUCCAGGAAGGACAUGCUGCUGUUAUAUUCAGGCUGUCUCCAUUCCAAUGAAGGUCUGUGCUCUUAGGAUUACUCCUGGAAAUGAAUUUAUGUCUCAGUGUUGUGUCAAGCUAAAUAUUUUCAUGCAGCUUCCUGUGUUCUUGGUAACAAAAGAUCUUGAGACUGCAACUUACAAGUCCUCUGAGUGCAGUAAUAAAUUCUGUUUGAAGAA
Long non-coding RNA from Mastomys coucha (southern multimammate mouse), 488 nucleotides. RefSeq lists it as uncharacterized. NCBI's taxonomy places the organism in Eukaryota, Metazoa, Chordata, Mammalia, Rodentia, Muridae. The record is from RefSeq and is a predicted model, not a curated record. The transcript is spliced from 3 exons.